AACGAACGCUGGCGGCAUGCCCAACACAUGCAAGUCGAACGAGACCUUCGGGUCUAGUGGCGCACGGGUGCGUAACGCGUGGGAACCUGCCCUUAGGUUCGGAAUAACUCCCCGAAAGGGGUGCUAAUACCGGAUAAUGUCUUCGGACCAAAGAUUUAUCGCCUUUGGAUGGGCCCGCGUUGGAUUAGCUAGUUGGUAGGGUAAAAGCCUACCAAGGCGACGAUCCAUAGCUGGUCUGAGAGGAUGAUCAGCCACACUGGGACUGAGACACGGCCCAGACUCCUACGGGAGGCAGCAGUGGGGAAUAUUGGACAAGGGGCGAAAGCCUGAUCCAGCAAGGCCGCGUGAGUGAUGAAGGCCUUAGGGUUGUAAAGCUCUUUUACCCGGGAUGAUAAUGACAGUACCGGGAGAAUAAGCUCCGGCUAACUCCGUG
This 433-nucleotide ribosomal RNA is filed under the name uncultured bacterium. RNAcentral's name for it is "partial 16S ribosomal RNA". It matches the Rfam family "Bacterial small subunit ribosomal RNA", at positions 29 to 507 of the family's 1533-position model. The record is from RNAcentral.